UUCAUUCUCACAAAUUCAUUCUCUCUCUUCGCUCAACGAUUUCAUCGCUCCCUCUCUCCUCCACCGCGCCCUCCUCCUUCGCUUUCUCCUCCACCGCGUCCUCUUCUCCUCCACCGCGUCCUCCUCCCCUCCACUGCAAGCGAUUUCAGAUGCGUUCUUCGGUUUCAUGCUCUUGUUCAAUUGAACUUGAUUCGGAAUCUCUUAUGCGUAUUUGUUCUUCUCGAUCUAAUAUCGUAUUUCAUUUGCCCUAAUUUUGCAGAUUCUGUAACUUAAUUGUUAUUGCUGAUUCAAUUGAACUUGAUUUCAAUUUUCAAGCAUACACGGUCAUAGGGGAAGAAUUGGACAACGGUUAGGCUGGUUUCAUCUAAGAUUCAAGCGCAAAACCUCUCAAAGGUAAAAAGAUGAGCCUGCUAAUAGUGGACCUCACUCUGAUUUGAAUUGUGUGUCUGAUUCAGUUCUAUUACAGAAAUAAUUGAUUUCGUGAAGGUUGUCUACCUCCUCUCCUCCACCGUUACUCCAACACUAGCUGAAUUUGCUUGGUUGAGGUUAUUUCUCAUCUGUGGUUCUGAUUCUUGUUCCCUUAUGUUAGAGAUACUUUGUAGUUUGUGGUUAUUUUGGUCAGUGAUUCUUGUUCAAUUUGAGCUGCUACCUGACCAAUUUGUGGGUUUCUCUUAUUUUUAUCUUCUUUCUUAUUGAAUUGUUUAAGUAAAGGUUGUCUGCCUCUCCAAUUGGAUAUGAUUUUUGUUUGACUGAUGGUAUGCUUCUAAGGUUUAAAGCAUAUUAUCUGGACCGUAUCUCUGCCUUGGGCUCAUUUCUUGGUCUCCUGGAAACACAGUCUUGUCAUCAAGACUGAAACAGUAAAAGAGCUCCGGAUCUGGUCCGACAUUAGGCACCAAAUGUAGGUAGGGGCUCCAACACCUAACAACAUGAGAAGUCAUCAAAUGGAAGCAACACAUAUUCAGAGGAUGUUUAGUGCUUGCAUAGUUAUGAUAGUUUUGUAUUUUUUUGGUUACUUUACGACUUGUUAUGUAACUAUGAAGUUAUGAGAUAAAAUUAGUCAAGUGUAUAUUCAUUACAGAUCAAAAUUGUAUGUUCAUUACUAAUGGUCUAAAUCGUCGAUAUGAUUUUUUCGUCAAA
Long non-coding RNA from Lotus japonicus, 1137 nucleotides. RefSeq lists it as uncharacterized. The transcript has 4 exons. NCBI's taxonomy places the organism in Eukaryota, Viridiplantae, Streptophyta, Magnoliopsida, Fabales, Fabaceae. The record is from RefSeq and is a predicted model, not a curated record.